Molecule: ribosomal RNA, 488 nt
Filed under: uncultured bacterium
Lineage: Bacteria
Description: partial 16S ribosomal RNA
Rfam family: Bacterial small subunit ribosomal RNA
Source: RNAcentral
GACGAACGCUGGCGGCGUGCUUAACACAUGCAAGUCGAACGGAAAGGCCCUGCGCUUGUGGGGUGCUCGAGUGGCGAACGGGUGAGUAACACGUGAGUAACCUGCCCUUGACUUUGGGAUAACUUCAGGAAACUGGGGCUAAUACCGGAUAGGAGCUCCUGCUGCAUGGUGGGGGUUGGAAAGUUUCGGCGGUGGGGGAUGGACUCGCGGCUUAGUAGCUAGUUGGUGGGGUAGGUGCUUACCAAGGUUAUGAUGGGUAGCCGGCCUGAGAGGGUGAUCGGCCACCCUGGAACUGAGACACGGUCCAGACUCCUACGGGAGGCAGCAGUAGGGAAUCUUCCGCAAUGGGCGAAAGCCUGACGGAGCAACGCCGCGUGAGUGAUGAAGGUCUUCGGAUCGUAAAACUCUGUUAUUAGGGAAGAACAUAUGUGUAAGUAACUGUGCACAUCUUGACGGUACCUAAUCAGAAAGCCACGGCUAACUACGUG